AGAAUCAACGCUGGCGGCGUGCCUAACACAUGCAAGUCGAACGAGAAAGUGGAGCAAUCCAUGAGUAAAGUGGCGCACGGGUGAGUAACACGUGACUAACCUACCCUUGAGUGGGGGAUAACCUAGAGAAAUCUGGGCUAAUACCGCAUAAUACCUUCGGGUCAAAGGAGCAAUUCGCUUGAAGAGGGGUCGCGGCAGAUUAGUUAGUUGGCGGGGUAAUGGCCCACCAAGACGAUGAUCUGUA
RNAcentral lists this ribosomal RNA (244 nucleotides) under uncultured bacterium. RNAcentral's name for it is "partial small subunit ribosomal RNA". It matches the Rfam family "Bacterial small subunit ribosomal RNA", at positions 26 to 285 of the family's 1533-position model. The record is from RNAcentral.